Molecule: non-coding RNA, 841 nt
Filed under: Pan troglodytes (chimpanzee)
Lineage: Eukaryota; Metazoa; Chordata; Mammalia; Primates; Hominidae
Source: RNAcentral
GCCGCCGCCGCCGGGCACCCAGCCCCAGGGGGGCGGGCUGGAGGGAGGGGGCGGGCGCUGGCGGGGGGACCCCCGCAACCAUGGCGGGCGGGGAGUGGGCUGCCGAGCCGCUUCACCUGCCGCAGAGGGGGCGGCCGGCGCCGCUUCACCUGCCGGAGCGGGAGGCCACCGAGGCGAGGCCGAGGCGGCGGCGCGCUCGGCGGCGCCUCCGGGUCCUAGAACCGCAUCCUCCCGCUCGCCUCGGGCGAGGGAUUGGCCGGGUCUGGGUGAGGGGGGUCACGGCUUGGGGAUCGGAGGGGCACAUCUUCUCCGCACCGAGGAUCUCAGCGACUGCGAGCACGGCUCGGAGACCCACGGUGGUGCAGCGUUGGCGCGCCAGGGCUGCGUUCCCGUCUCGGGUCCCGGACUGAGAAGAGCCACUGACAAGACUUUAAGCAAGAGACGGAAAGUUAACAUCUAAUCUGGAGGAAGACCCUGGAAGGAGCCAGCCCCUUCCCCCAGGCUGACCUGGUUUAAGCCUUUCUUCUGCUAAGGUCACCAGCACCCCAGAUGGGUGAGAGAUGUGAUCACUGGUUUCAUGGCCUGACCAAGGACCUCCAAGGCCUCAUGUGGAAUGCAGCCUCUGAGAAAAGCACUUCUCACCACUCAAAACCCACCGAAGCAUGCCCAGCCCUGAGAGGGGCUUCUAGGAAUGCAAAACGAGCUGUCUCUGCAGCCACGAGCAGAGCUAACUGCAUAAUAAGCACACUGGAGGGGAUUCACAGGCUUUGAGGAUUGUUUUGAAGGAAGAGAAAUAGGUCCUACUUCUGUGGGAGACUGAUUAUUCCUUUAACUCCAAUCA